RNAcentral lists this ribosomal RNA (426 nucleotides) under uncultured bacterium. RNAcentral's name for it is "partial 16S ribosomal RNA". It matches the Rfam family "Bacterial small subunit ribosomal RNA", at positions 354 to 796 of the family's 1533-position model. The record is from RNAcentral.
GUGAGGAAUUUUCCGCAAUGGGCGAAAGCCUGACGGAGCAAUGCCGCGUGAAGGAUGAAGGCCUAUGGGUUGUAAACUUCUUUUCUCAGAAAAGAAUUAUGACGGUAUCUGAGGAAUAAGCAUCGGCUAACUCUGUGCCAGCAGCCGCGGUAAGACAGAGGAUGCAAGCGUUAUCCGGAAUGAUUGGGCGUAAAGCGUCUGUAGGUUGUUUAAAAAGUAUUCUGUCAAAGAUUAGGGCUUAACCCUAGAUAGGCAGAAUAAACUUUUAAGCUAGAGUUUGGUAGAGGCAGAGGGAAUUCACGGUAGAGCGGUGAAAUGCGUAGAUAUCGGGAGGAACACCAAAGGCGAAGGCACUCUGCUGGGCCAAUACUAACACUGAGAGACGAAAGCGAGGGGAGCAAAUGGGAUUAGAUACCCCGGUAGUCC